UACGUAGGGGGCAAGCGUUAUCCGGAUUUACUGGGUGUAAAGGGAGCGUAGGUGGUUUAUUAAGUCUGGUGUAAAAGGCAGUGGCUCAACCAUUGUAUGCAUUGGAAACUGGUAGACUUGAGUGCAGGAGAGGAGAGUGGAAUUCCAUGUGUAGCGGUGAAAUGCGUAGAUAUAUGGAGGAACACCGGUGGCGAAAGCGGCUCUCUGGCCUGUAACUGACACUGAGGCUCGAAAGCGUGGGGAGCAAACAGG
Molecule: ribosomal RNA, 252 nt
Filed under: uncultured bacterium
Lineage: Bacteria
Description: partial 16S ribosomal RNA
Rfam family: Bacterial small subunit ribosomal RNA
Source: RNAcentral